Molecule: ribosomal RNA, 440 nt
Filed under: uncultured bacterium
Lineage: Bacteria
Description: partial 16S ribosomal RNA
Rfam family: Bacterial small subunit ribosomal RNA
Source: RNAcentral
CCUACGGGUGGCAGCAGUGGGGAAUAUUGCACAAUGGGGGAAACCCUGAUGCAGCGACGCCGCGUGAGUGAAGAAGUAAUUCGUUAUGUAAAGCUCUAUCAGCAGGGAAGAAAAUGACGGUACCUGAGUAAGAAGCCCCGGCUAACUACGUGCCAGCAGCCGCGGUAAUACGUAGGGGGCAAGCGUUAUCCGGAUUUACUGGGUGGAAAGGGAGCGUAGACGGCAGUGCAAGUCUGGAGUGAAAGGCGGGGGUUCAACCCCCGGACUGCUCUGGAAACUGUACGGCUGGAGUGCAGGAGAGGUAAGUGGAAUUCCUAGUGUAGCGGUGAAAUGCGUAGAUAUUAGGAGGAACACCAGUGGCGAAGGCGGCUUACUGGACUGUAACUGACGUUGAGGCUCGAAAGCGUGGGGAGCAAACAGGAUUAGAUACCCGUGUAGUC